This 321-nucleotide ribosomal RNA is filed under the name Nannocoris tuberculifera. RNAcentral's name for it is "partial 16S ribosomal RNA". Lineage: Eukaryota; Metazoa; Arthropoda; Insecta; Hemiptera; Schizopteridae. The record is from RNAcentral.
UAAAUUAGUUCUGCCCAAUGAUUUAUAUUUAAUGGCUGCGGUAUUUUAACUGUACAAAGGUAGCAUAAUUAUUAGUUUAUUAAUUAUAAGCUUGUAUGAAUGGUUUUAUGAAAAGAAUUCUUUCUUUGUAUAUUAAUUAAAAAUUUAUAUUUUUAGUUAAAAUUCUAAAAUUUUUUUAUAGGACGAGAAGACCCUAUAAAACUUAAUAUAAGUAUAUAAUUUAUAUUAUAUACUUGUAUUUUGUUGGGGAGAUAAUAAUAAUUAAUUAACUUUUAUUUUUUUUAUCUAUUAAUUUUUGUUUAUUUGAUUAUUUAUAUUGAU